Molecule: ribosomal RNA, 356 nt
Filed under: Synodus foetens (inshore lizardfish)
Lineage: Eukaryota; Metazoa; Chordata; Actinopteri; Aulopiformes; Synodontidae
Description: partial 12S ribosomal RNA
Rfam family: Bacterial small subunit ribosomal RNA
Source: RNAcentral
AAACUUAGAUAACUAAUUAUAAUAUUUAUCCGCCAGGGUACUACGAGCAUAAGCUUAAAACCCAAAGGACUUGGCGGUGCUUCAGACCCUCCUAGAGGAGCCUGUUCUAGAACCGAUAUUCCUCGUUAAACCUCACCGCCUCUUGUUCACCCCCGCCUAUAUACCGCCGUCGUCAGCUUACCCUUUGAAGGUAAUAAAGUAAGCGAAACAGUCACAAACAAAAACGUCAGGUCGAGGUGUAGCGUAUGAGGCGGGAAGAAAUGGGCUACAUUCUCUUUCCGCAGAGAAAAACGGAAGGGGCAGUGAAACCUGCCCCCAAAGGUGGAUUUAGCAGUAAGCAAGAAAUAGAGUGUCUU